GAUGAACGCUGGCGGCGUGCCUAAUACAUGCAAGUCGAGCGAACAGAUGAGGAGCUUGCUCCUCUGACGUUAGCGGCGGACGGGUGAGUAACACGUGGAUAACCUACCUAUAAGACUGGGAUAACUUCGGGAAACCGGAGCUAAUACCGGAUAAUAUAUUGAACCGCAUGGUUCAAUAGUGAAAGACGGUUUUGCUGUCACUUAUAGAUGGAUCCGCGCCGCAUUAGCUAGUUGGUAAGGUAACGGCUUACCAAGGCAACGAUGCGUAGCCGACCUGAGAGGGUGAUCGGCCACACUGGAACUGAGACACGGUCCAGACUCCUACGGGAGGCAGCAGUAGGGAAUCUUCCGCAAUGGGCGAAAGCCCGACGGAGCAACGCCGCGUGAGUGAUGAAGGUCUUCGGAUCGUAAAAUUCUGUUAUUAGGGAAGAACAAAUGUGUAAGUAACUAUGCACGUCUUGACGGUACCUAAUCAGAAAGCCACGGCUAACUACGUG
RNAcentral lists this ribosomal RNA (497 nucleotides) under uncultured bacterium. Its description in RNAcentral is "partial 16S ribosomal RNA". It matches the Rfam family "Bacterial small subunit ribosomal RNA", at positions 28 to 507 of the family's 1533-position model. The record is from RNAcentral.